This is a non-coding RNA of Phrynosoma platyrhinos (Desert horned lizard), 72 nucleotides long. NCBI's taxonomy places the organism in Eukaryota, Metazoa, Chordata, Lepidosauria, Squamata, Phrynosomatidae. The record is from the annotation of a GenBank genome assembly.
GCCAGUGUGGCGUAAUGAUUUGAGUGUUGGACUAAGAUUUUAUGGACCAGGGUUCAAUUCCCAGCUAUGUCA